RNAcentral lists this small RNA (320 nucleotides) under Arabidopsis thaliana (thale cress). RNAcentral describes it as "ATSL045200". The record is from RNAcentral. Lineage: Eukaryota; Viridiplantae; Streptophyta; Magnoliopsida; Brassicales; Brassicaceae.
AAAUGAAAAAAAACUGUAAAAACUAGUAAAAAUGAAAAAUGAUUAUUUUUAAUUUUUAAUAAACUAACUAUAGACUGUACGUCCGUUCGAUCCUAACUAACUGAUCUGUGCGUACUGGACGCCAUUUGAUGGUUCAGGGGUAUUUUCGUCUGAAUUUGGCUGAAUGGUUAAAUGGUGGAAGACCCAUUUUACUUUGCCAAAUCCUGAAAUAAAAACAUGGUCAAUGGCUACUGUAUAUAAUUUACCCAAGAAAUCAAGCGUUUUAGUCGAAACCAAACAUGGAACACAUAGGCCUAGAGCACCCUUUACACGUCCAAAGC